CUAAGAGCGAAUGGUGGAUGCCUUGACUGGUAAAGGCGAUGAAGGACGUACUAGACUGCGAUAAGCUACGGGGAGCUGUCAAGAAGCUUUGAUCCGUAGAUUUCCGAAUGGGGCAACCCAAUGUAUAGAGAUAUACAUUACCUAUAUAGGAGCGAACGAGGGGAAUUGAAACAUCUUAGUACCCUCAGGAAAAGAAAUCAAUAGAGAUUGCGUCAGUAGCGGCGAGCGAAAGCGCAAGAGGGCAAACCCAGUGCUUGCACUGGGGGUUGUAGGACUGCAAUGUGCAAGAGGUAAGUUUAGCAGAACAUUCUGGAAAGUAUAACCAUAGAGGGUGAUAGUCCCGUAUGCGAAAAACAAACCUUAGCUAGCAGUAUCCUGAGUAGGGCGGGACACGAGGAAUCCUGUCUGAAUCCGGGUCGACCACGAUCCAACCCUAAAUACUAAUACCAGAUCGAUAGUGCACAAGUACCGUGAGGGAAAGGUGAAAAGAACUGAGGUGAUCAGAGUGAAAUAGAACCUGAAACCAUUUGCUUAUAAUCAUUCAGAGCCCUAUGUAGCAAUACAGGGUGAUGGACUGCCUUUUGCAUAAUGAGCCUGCGAGUUGUGGUGUCUGGCAAGGUUAAGCAAACGCGAAGCCGUAGCGAAAGCGAGUCUGAAUAGGGCGCUUAGUCAGAUGCUGCAGACCCGAAACGAAGUGAUCUAUCCAUGAGCAAGUUGAAGCUAGUGUAAGAACUAGUGGAGGACUGAACCCAUAGGCGUUGAAAAGCCCCGGGAUGACUUGUGGAUAGGGGUGAAAGGCCAAUCAAACUUCGUGAUAGCUGGUUCUCUCCGAAAUAUAUUUAGGUAUAGCGUUGUGUCGUAAUAUAAGGGGGUAGAGCACUGAAUGGGCUAGGGCAUACACCAAUGUACCAAACCCUAUCAAACUCCGAAUACCUUAUAUGUAAUCACAGCAGUCAGGCGGCGAGUGAUAAAAUCCGUCGUCAAGAGGGAAACAACCCAGACUACCAGCUAAGGUCCCUAAGUCUUACUUAAGUGGAAAACGAUGUGAAGUUACUUAAACAACCAGGAGGUUGGCUUAGAAGCAGCCAUCCUUUAAAGAAAGCGUAAUAGCUCACUGGUCUAGUGAUUUUGCGCGGAAAAUAUAACGGGGCUAAAGUAAGUACCGAAGCUGUAGACUUGCACACAACUUAGAUUAUUUAAGUUUAGAAUAUGAGAAACUAAGUUAUGUUUAGUUAUAUUUUUACUGAUUUUUAUAGAGUAAAGAUAGAAAUAAAACUUAGUAAAAUCAGUAAAAAUAUUCUUAGGCUAAAGUUAAGUAGUUUAAGUUGUGUGCAAGUGGUAGGAGAGCGUUCUAUUUGCGUCGAAGGUAUACCGGUAAGGAGUGCUGGAGCGAAUAGAAGUGAGCAUGCAGGCAUGAGUAGCGAUAAUUAAUGUGAGAAUCAUUAACGCCGUAAACCCAAGGUUUCCUACGCGAUGCUCGUCAUCGUAGGGUUAGUCGGGUCCUAAGUCGAGUCCGAAAGGGGUAGACGAUGGCAAAUUGGUUAAUAUUCCAAUACCAACAUUAGUGUGCGAUGGAAGGACGCUUAGGGCUAAGGGGGCUAGCGGAUGGAAGUGCUAGUCUAAGGUCGUAGGAGGUUAUACAGGCAAAUCCGUAUAACAAUACUCCGAGAACUGAAAGGCUUUUUGAAGUCUUCGGAUGGAUAGAAGAACCCCUGAUGCCGUCGAGCCAAGAAAAGUUUCUAAGUUUAGCUAAUGUUGCCCGUACCGUAAACCGACACAGGUGGGUGGGAUGAGUAUUCUAAGGCGCGUGGAAGAACUCUCUUUAAGGAACUCUGCAAAAUAGCACCGUAUCUUCGGUAUAAGGUGUGGUUAGCUUUGUAUUAGGAUUUACUCCGAAAGCAAGGAAACUUACAACAAAGAGUCCCUCCCGACUGUUUACCAAAAACACAGCACUCUGCUAACUCGUAAGAGGAUGUAUAGGGUGUGACGCCUGCCCGGUGCUCGAAGGUUAAUUGAUGGGGUUAGCAUUAGCGAAGCUCUUGAUCGAAGCCCGAGUAAACGGCGGCCGUAACUAUAACGGUCCUAAGGUAGCGAAAUUCCUUGUCGGUUAAAUACCGACCUGCAUGAAUGGCGUAACGAGAUGGGAGCUGUCUCAAAGAGGGAUCCAGUGAAAUUGUAGUGGAGGUGAAAAUUCCUCCUACCCGCGGCAAGACGGAAAGACCCCGUGGACCUUUACUACAGCUUGACACUGCUACUUGGAUAAGAAUGUGCAGGAUAGGUGGGAGGCUUUGAGUAUAUGACGCCAGUUGUAUAUGAGCCAUUGUUGAGAUACCACUCUUUCUUAUUUGGGUAGCUAACCAGCUUGAGUUAUCCUCAAGUGGGACAAUGUCUGGUGGGUAGUUUGACUGGGGCGGUCGCCUCCCAAAUAAUAACGGAGGCUUACAAAGGUUGGCUCAGAACGGUUGGAAAUCGUUCGUAGAGUAUAAAGGUAUAAGCCAGCUUAACUGCAAGACAUACAAGUCAAGCAGAGACGAAAGUCGGUCUUAGUGAUCCGGUGGUUCUGUGUGGAAGGGCCAUCGCUCAAAGGAUAAAAGGUACCCCGGGGAUAACAGGCUGAUCUCCCCCAAGAGCUCACAUCGACGGGGAGGUUUGGCACCUCGAUGUCGGCUCAUCGCAUCCUGGGGCUGGAGCAGGUCCCAAGGGUAUGGCUGUUCGCCAUUUAAAGCGGUACGCGAGCUGGGUUCAGAACGUCGUGAGACAGUUCGGUCCCUAUCUGCCGUGGGCGUAAGAAGAUUGAAGAGAUUUGACCCUAGUACGAGAGGACCGGGUUGAACAAACCACUGGUGUAGCUGUUGUUCUGCCAAGAGCAUCGCAGCGUAGCUAAGUUUGGAAAGGAUAAACGCUGAAAGCAUCUAAGCGUGAAGCCAACUCUAAGAUGAAUCUUCUCUAAGCUCUCUAGAAGACUACUAGUUUGAUAGGCUGGGUGUGUAAUGGAUGAAAGUCCUUUAGCUGACCAGUACUAAUAGAGCGUUUGGCUUAUCUUUA
This 3045-nucleotide ribosomal RNA is filed under the name Campylobacter jejuni. RNAcentral's name for it is "bacterial LSU rRNA". It matches the Rfam family "Bacterial large subunit ribosomal RNA". Lineage: Bacteria; Pseudomonadati; Campylobacterota; Epsilonproteobacteria; Campylobacterales; Campylobacteraceae. The record is from RNAcentral.